RNAcentral lists this ribosomal RNA (253 nucleotides) under uncultured bacterium. Its description in RNAcentral is "partial 16S ribosomal RNA". It matches the Rfam family "Bacterial small subunit ribosomal RNA", at positions 524 to 776 of the family's 1533-position model. The record is from RNAcentral.
UACGGGGGGGGCAAGCGUUGUUCGGAAUUACUGGGCGUAAAGGGCUCGUAGGCGGCCAACUAAGUCGGACGUGAAAUCCCCAGGCUCAACCUGGGAACUGCGUCCGAUACUGGAUGGCUUGAAUCCGGGAGAGGGAUGCAGAAUUCCAGGUGUAGCGGUGAAAUGCGUAGAUAUCGGGAGGAACACCAGUGGCGAAGGCGACUUCCUGGCCUGUUCUUGACGCUGAGGCGCGAAAGCUAGGGGAGCAAACGGG